CAAAGAAGUGGCUCAUCAAGAAGAUGCUGAAGAACACCUACACGGUGGAAGACUCGUCCUCCGCGGAGUGCUCCUCGAUGGAUGAGGAUGACACGAUGCAUGACAUCAGCAGCAUCGAGGACGAGGUGUGGGACUCUCCGCUGACCCCCAGUUCGGCCAGGAACAUCGGCGAAGAGGAAAGAAGAGGACAGCUGGCCCCAGAUUGGUUCUCCUCGGUCCAUCUGGGAGAGGUAAGGGGUGCAAA
Molecule: long non-coding RNA, 244 nt
Organism: Hemicordylus capensis (graceful crag lizard)
Lineage: Eukaryota; Metazoa; Chordata; Lepidosauria; Squamata; Cordylidae
Exons: 3
Source: RefSeq, a predicted model, not a curated record